CACGAAGCGAAAUCAUUAUCACAUAACGACGAAAAUCUUUGAUAAUGAUGAUAGAGAGAAGUGAUGGAAUAUACAAUAGCUAUCGCCUGUUCUUGUAGCGUAGUAGUGGUGGUAACAUUUCUGAUAAUAUUUGGAAUUGUUUGCAGAAAAAAGAAUAAAUGUAAAACAAACGAUGGAUUUAAGGGUAGAAUCCUGCAAAAUGAACAUACUGAACAAACAAAAACAAAAUUAUUUUGGUCCCGCUUUUCCAAGUCUUCCAAUGAAAGGUCUAAAGUAGUCACUGUGAACGUUGGUGGAACAAGCAACAACAAGUAUGAUAAUCGACGAGGGCGGGCAACUCUCGCGUUGCCUGAGGUACACGGAUAGUUUCGGAUACGAAAGUAAUAAGUUGUUGUCUUAUAUUCAUGAUUCAGUUAUGUGACACAACCAGCAACAUUAUGUAAUGCAUAAUUACCCAUUUGACUUGAUAUUUAAGUUGUUUUGUUACACUAAAUGGUUUCCAUAAUUAACGAGUUUCAUCUUUUUAUGCGUUUUGGGAUUUCAUUAUAAUUGCUUUGUUUCAAAUCUAAAUAAAUACGUAUUACAAAAUA
Molecule: long non-coding RNA, 590 nt
Organism: Mytilus californianus (California mussel)
Lineage: Eukaryota; Metazoa; Mollusca; Bivalvia; Mytilida; Mytilidae
Exons: 2
Source: RefSeq, a predicted model, not a curated record